GAUGAACGCUGGCGGCGUGCCUAAUACAUGCAAGUCGAGCGAACGGACGAGAAGCUUGCUUCUCUGAUGUUAGCGGCGGACGGGUGAGUAACACGUGGAUAACCUACCUAUAAGACUGGGAUAACUUCGGGAAACCGGAGCUAAUACCGGAUGAUAUUUUGAACCGCAUGGUUCAAAAGUGAAAGACGGUCUUGCUGUCACUUAUAGAUGGAUCCGCGCUGCAUUAGCUAGUUGGUAAGGUAACGGCUUACCAAGGCAACGAUGCAUAGCCGACCUGAGAGGGUGAUCGGCCACACUGGAACUGAGACACGGUCCAGACUCCUACGGGAGGCAGCAGUAGGGAACCUUCCGCAAUGGGCGAAAGCCUGACGGAGCAACGCCGCGUGAGUGAUGAAGGUCUUCGGAUCGUAAAACUCUGUUAUUAGGGAAGAACAUAUGUGUAAGUAACUGUGCACAUCUUGACGGUACCUAAUCAGAAAGCCACGGCUAACUACGUGCCAGCAGCCGCGGUAAUACGUAGGUGGCAAGCGUUAUCCGGAAUUAUUGGGCGUAAAGCGCGCGUAGGCGGUUUUUUAGUCUGAUGUGAAAGCCCACGGCUCAACCGUGGAGGGUCAUUGGAAACUGGAAAACUUGAGUGCAGAAGAGGAAAGUGGAAUUCCAUGUGUAGCGGUGAAAUGCGCAGAGAUAUGGAGGAACACCAGUGGCGAAGGCGACUUUCUGGUCUGUAACUGACGCUGAUGUGCGAAAGCGUGGGGAUCAAACAGGAUUAGAUACCCUGGUAGUCCACGCCGUAAACGAUGAGUGCUAAGUGUUAGGGGGUUUCCGCCCCUUAGUGCUGCAGCUAACGCAUUAAGCACUCCGCCUGGGGAGUACGACCGCAAGGUUGAAACUCAAAGGAAUUGACGGGGACCCGCACAAGCGGUGGAGCAUGUGGUUUAAUUCGAAGCAACGCGAAGAACCUUACCAAAUCUUGACAUCCUUUGACAACUCUAGAGAUAGAGCCUUCCCCUUCGGGGGACAAAGUGACAGGUGGUGCAUGGUUGUCGUCAGCUCGUGUCGUGAGAUGUUGGGUUAAGUCCCGCAACGAGCGCAACCCUUAAGCUUAGUUGCCAUCAUUAAGUUGGGCACUCUAAGUUGACUGCCGGUGACAAACCGGAGGAGGGUGGGGAUGACGUCAAAUCAUCAUGCCCCUUAUGAUUUGGGCUACACACGUGCUACAAUGGACAAUACAAAGGGCAGCGAAACCGCGAGGUCAAGCAAAUCCCAUAAAGUUGUUCUCAGUUCGGAUUGUAGUCUGCAACUCGGCUACAUGAAGCUGGAAUCGCUAGUAAUCGUAGAUCAGCAUGCUACGGUGAAUACGUUCCCGGGUCU
RNAcentral lists this ribosomal RNA (1371 nucleotides) under uncultured bacterium. Its description in RNAcentral is "bacterial SSU rRNA". It matches the Rfam family "Bacterial small subunit ribosomal RNA", at positions 28 to 1381 of the family's 1533-position model. The record is from RNAcentral.